This 329-nucleotide unclassified non-coding RNA is filed under the name soil metagenome. Its description in RNAcentral is "partial contains 5.8S ribosomal RNA, internal transcribed spacer 2, and large subunit ribosomal RNA". The stretch from base 1 to 120 matches the Rfam family "5.8S ribosomal RNA", at positions 35 to 154 of the family's 154-position model. The record is from RNAcentral.
GAUGAAGAACGCAGCGAAAUGCGAUAAGUAAUGUGAAUUGCAGAAUUCAGUGAAUCAUCGAAUCUUUGAACGCACAUUGCGCCCCUUGGUAUUCCGAGGGGCAUGCCUGUUCGAGCGUCAUUAUAACCCCUCAAGCUCAGCUUGGUGUUGGGGCCUGCUGCACUGGCAGCCCUUAAAAUCAGUGGCGGCGCCAUCUGGCUCUAAGCGUAGUAAUUCUUCUCGCUAUGGAGUCCUGGUGGAUGCUUGCCAUCAACCCCCAAUUUUUCUAUGGUUGACCUCGGAUCAGGUAGGGAUACCCGUUGAACUUAAGCAUAUCAAUAAGCGGAGGA